RNAcentral lists this long non-coding RNA (904 nucleotides) under Homo sapiens (human). RNAcentral's name for it is "HSALNT0064641". Lineage: Eukaryota; Metazoa; Chordata; Mammalia; Primates; Hominidae. The record is from RNAcentral.
AUAGAGUUGAAGAAAAACAAUUAGUAGCCAAUAGCUUGUAGAUGAUAUUUAAAGGCAUGGGACAGAAUGAGCUCAUCUGAGGAAAGAAGACAGUUACAGAACAGGGCCAAGGGCCAAGCUGUGGCCUUAAGCCAAUAUCUUGAGGUCAGGAAAAGAAGAAAUUCAACGUAAGGAAUGACAGUGAGCUAGGAAAAGCAGAAAGGAUGUGACCAACUGUGUCAAAUGCUGCUGAGACGUAAAACAUGAUGAAGUCCAAGAAUUGACUGGAGGGUCUGGUAGGACAGAGGUCAUUGCUGCUGAUCUAAAUGAAAGCUGUUUUGUAGCAAUGCUGGAGAUGCAAGCUUCAGUAAAGUGAGCUGAAGGACAUAAACAUAAACAUAAGCAAGAAGAAAGAAGAAGUGUAGACAAUUGUUUCCAGGAGAUGGCCGAUACUAGGCAUGCAUGUGCAUACAGAAAAGAGAGUAACCCAAUAGUGAGGAAGAAAUUGAUGCUGCAGGAGAGAGGGAAUAAUUGCCGAAGCAAAGAUCUUGAGGUACUGAGAAAGGAUGACCCUAAUUUCCUUAAUGCUGCAGCCUGCUUCCACUGAGGGACUGGAGGCUCCUUGAGCAAAAUUAUCUACCUCUUCACCUUUGGAUCUUUCACAGUUCCCAGUUCGGUGUACUACAGAUUGUACUUGCUAAAUAAAAAAUCAUUGUCAUGGUUUACCUAAAUGCCUGAAGUGUUAAUAAUAAAAAAAAAACCCUUUAUUCCCUCCCAUACACUUUAUAAAUCUACAGGAUUAGAGAAACAGAAUCAUCUAGACAUUUCUGGUGGUAAUGGAAAAUUGUUCAACCACUCUGGAAAAUUGUUUGGCAUUUUCCUAUAAAACUAAACAUGAAAUUACCAUAUGACCCAGAAAUUGCAC